RNAcentral lists this ribosomal RNA (465 nucleotides) under Vreelandella stevensii. Its description in RNAcentral is "partial 16S ribosomal RNA". It matches the Rfam family "Bacterial small subunit ribosomal RNA", at positions 338 to 795 of the family's 1533-position model. Lineage: Bacteria; Pseudomonadati; Pseudomonadota; Gammaproteobacteria; Oceanospirillales; Halomonadaceae. The record is from RNAcentral.
CCUACGGGGGGCAGCAGUGGGGAAUAUUGGACAAUGGGGGCAACCCUGAUCCAGCCAUGCCGCGUGUGUGAAGAAGGCCCUCGGGUUGUAAAGCACUUUCAGUGAGGAAGAACGCCUGGUGGUUAAUACCCAUCAGGAAAGACAUCACUCACAGAAGAAGCACCGGCUAACUCCGUGCCAGCAGCCGCGGUAAUACGGAGGGUGCGAGCGUUAAUCGGAAUUACUGGGCGUAAAGCGCGCGUAGGUGGCUUGAUAAGCCGGUUGUGAAAGCCCCGGGCUCAACCUGGGAACGGCAUCCGGAACUGUCAAGCUAGAGUGCAGGAGAGGAAGGUAGAAUUCCCGGUGUAGCGGUGAAAUGCGUAGAGAUCGGGAGGAAUACCAGUGGCGAAGGCGGCCUUCUGGACUGACACUGACACUGAGGUGCGAAAGCGUGGGUAGCAAACAGGAUUAGAUGCCCGUGUAGUC